Long non-coding RNA from Sinocyclocheilus grahami, 126 nucleotides. RefSeq lists it as uncharacterized. The transcript has 3 exons. Lineage: Eukaryota; Metazoa; Chordata; Actinopteri; Cypriniformes; Cyprinidae. The record is from RefSeq and is a predicted model, not a curated record.
CUCAUCUAUAUUAUUUGCAGAGAAUUUUCGCGAAUCACUACAAAAGAGGAAAACAGGUUCCUGAACCCUGGGGUGAACACCAUGAUGGCCAGAUCUCUCUCUUCUCCCAACCAGCCACACUCUUAC